CCAGACUCCUACGGGAGGCAGCAGUGGGGAAUAUUGCACAAUGGGGGAAACCCUGAUCCAGCGACGCCGCGUGAGUGAAGAAGUAUCUCGGUAUGUAAAGCUCUAUCAGCAGGGAAGAAAGAAAUGACGGUACCUGAGUAAGAAGCCCCGGCUAACUACGUGCCAGCAGCCGCGGUAAUACGUAGGGGGCAAGCGUUAUCCGGAAUUACUGGGUGUAAAGGGAGCGUAGACGGUGAAGUAAGUCUGGAGUGAAAGGCGGGGGCCCAACCCCCGGACUGCUCUGGAAACUGUAUGGCUGGAGUGCAGGAGAGGUAAGCGGAAUUCCUAGUGUAGCGGUGAAAUGCGUAGAUAUUAGGAGGAACACCAGUGGCGAAGGCGGCUUACUGGACUGUAACUGACGUUGAGGCUCGAAAGCGUGGGGAGCAAACAGGAUUAGAUACCCGCGUA
This 447-nucleotide ribosomal RNA is filed under the name uncultured bacterium. Its description in RNAcentral is "bacterial SSU rRNA". It matches the Rfam family "Bacterial small subunit ribosomal RNA", at positions 331 to 792 of the family's 1533-position model. The record is from RNAcentral.